UAGCAAGGCACAGUCUCUGACUUUGCAGGG
RNAcentral lists this non-coding RNA (30 nucleotides) under Homo sapiens (human). The record is from RNAcentral. Lineage: Eukaryota; Metazoa; Chordata; Mammalia; Primates; Hominidae.